Molecule: ribosomal RNA, 468 nt
Filed under: uncultured bacterium
Lineage: Bacteria
Description: partial 16S ribosomal RNA
Rfam family: Bacterial small subunit ribosomal RNA
Source: RNAcentral
GACGAACGCUGGCGGCGUGCUUAACACAUGCAAGUCGAACGGAAAGGCCCUGCUUUUGUGGGGUGCUCGAGUGGCGAACGGGUGCGUAACACGUGAGUAACCUGCCCUUGACUUUGGGAUAACUUCAGGAAACUGGGGCUAAUACCGGAUAGGAUCUCCUGCUGCAUGGUGGGGGUUGGAAAGUUUCGGCGGUUGGGGAUGGACUCGCGGCUUAUCAGCUUGUUGGUGGGGUAGUGGCUUACCAAGGCUUUGACGGGUAGCCGGCCUGAGAGGGUGACCGGCCACAUUGGGACUGAGAUACGGCCCAGACUCCUACGGGAGGCAGCAGUGGGGAAUAUUGCACAAUGGGCGGAAGCCUGAUGCAGCAACGCCGCGUGCGGGAUGACGGCCUUCGGGUUGUAAACCGCUUUCGCCUGUGACGAAGCGUGAGUGACGGUAAUGGGUAAAGAAGCACCGGCUAACUACGUG